This 74-nucleotide transfer RNA is filed under the name archaeon. RNAcentral describes it as "tRNA-Gln". It matches the Rfam family "tRNA". From Rfam's summary of the family: Transfer RNA (tRNA) molecules are approximately 80 nucleotides in length. The record is from RNAcentral.
UGGGGGAUCGUUCAACGGCAGGACAGCAGGCUCUGAAUCUGUUAAUCUAGGUUCGAAUCCUAGUCCCCCAGCCA